GCUUGCCCCCAGGCAAGUUUUGAAAAACUUGCCUUGCUGCCAAAGUUGCUGGUUCCAGCUUUGCAUAUUGCUACCUGUACAUUAUCCUCAUUUAGAGGAACAAUUUGCCGAGCUUACUAAUGGCUUAUUCAUGUUGUCGAAGCCCUACAACAAAAAGUACCGAAAUCAUUGACUCUAAAAAUAUACCUCCCAAUGGGCAUGCUCUUUGAUUUGUAGUCUUCAUACUUUGGGUCAAUAUUGUGCAAGAAUCUUUCCAGCCCCUCUUGCCUUGCUCAUAUUUUAAAGCAUACUCUUGCACUUUCUCCUCUUUUAUCAGUAUCUACCAACCAGUCCUUUUUCUGUAUCAGGUUGGGCUGGAUCCCACCUGGUAAAAUUCCUGGUUGGGCAACACCUGGUGCGUGCCCAGCCUUGAUUGACUGACAGUAAUCCACUGAUUAUCCAAAUACUCCACUCCUUAUUUCAGCAGCCUAAUUGGAACAGAACAAAAUUCUGACUUCUACGUUGGGAGACUUUUAAAAUGGAAUAGAAUCCAGAUAUCUGAAGCUUCAUCUCAUAAACUAAUGCAUACUUCCUAUACGUUGUACAUGGCUGGAAUUCUACAGAUACAUGUCCAAAAGUCUCCAAAUGAUUCAGUUUGCUGGGGCACAGCAAGAGGAACUCAACGCCUUUGUCAAAGCAACCAGAGAAAGGAAACCUGGAGGCAAAGUUAAUCUUUUUUUUUUUUCUUCCUGGCCCUGGAGUCCAGAGAUAUCCAGUGACAGGGGAACAAGCACGCUUGUCAUCACCUGCUCAGUCUCAGAAGACUGCUGCAAAGAUCGGAACAUUUUUCCAUGCAAACAAGGGACAUUAAAAAAGCCUUUAGAAUGGAAUGAUGACAGUACGUAAACUCUGGGUAAAAAGAGCCUGGACAUUGAAAGCUUCCGCCAGGAGCCCACAAUGUGCUAUUCUUUGGGGAUCAAGAGGAGAAGGUCUAAUCUUAUCCUGUUUCACUGACUUAUCCAAACAGCAACUGCCUGCCAUGUUACUUUCCCCUGAAAAAAACUAUUCUUUGGUGGAAGGAAAUACAGAUUGGAAGAAUUAAUUGCAAACAUCAUGGGCUUUUCUUUGGAAAGCUCAGCAAUUCCCUAGGGGAGGGAGAGACACUUUGGGCACUAAAAAAAACCAAACAAACAAAACCAGGUUGUAACACAGCCAAGUGGUUCCUAUGUUACCUUUUUGACAGCAUCAUCUAGUCUCCACAGUCAUAUAAGAAGUGGAAAAGACUGAAUGGCCAUAUAAGUAUUAAGAUUUUUUUUUUUGGUGGAGGCUUAAAUUAUCAAGAUGGUGUAGUACUGACUUCCUUGGAGAGUGAAGUGAAAGUGCCAUCACUGAAAUGUUAAUGCUUAAUUCCUACCUUGAUGUGAUUUAAAGAAUUAUUUUUCUUUUCCAUUUUCGUGGAGAAGGGUAGUCCUAAAACAUUCUUACUAUUGCUCUUUGGACGUAGUCAAGGGAAAACUAAAGGAGUAGCUGCAGACAUUAGGAAGUCCAGACAAGAGAUUCCCAGCCCACAGCCAGCUCUUCAUGUUUCCCACAAUUAGGCCAAUAAAAUCAUACCAAUAUUUUUUUUUUCUAAAACA
Molecule: long non-coding RNA, 1616 nt
Organism: Phascolarctos cinereus (koala)
Lineage: Eukaryota; Metazoa; Chordata; Mammalia; Diprotodontia; Phascolarctidae
Source: Ensembl